GACGAGUUUGAUGCGAUGAUUG
RNAcentral lists this non-coding RNA (22 nucleotides) under Arabidopsis thaliana (thale cress). The record is from RNAcentral. Lineage: Eukaryota; Viridiplantae; Streptophyta; Magnoliopsida; Brassicales; Brassicaceae.